RNAcentral lists this ribosomal RNA (432 nucleotides) under uncultured bacterium. RNAcentral's name for it is "partial 16S ribosomal RNA". It matches the Rfam family "Bacterial small subunit ribosomal RNA", at positions 29 to 507 of the family's 1533-position model. The record is from RNAcentral.
AACGAACGCUGGCGGCAUGCCUAACACAUGCAAGUCGAACGAGACCUUCGGGUCUGGUGGCGCACGGGUGCGUAACGCGUUGGAACCUGCCCUUAGGUUCGGAAUAACUCCCCGAAAGGGGUCCUAAUACCGGGUAAUAUCUUCGGACCAAAGAGUUAUCGCGUUUGGAUGGGCCCGCGUUUGAUUGGCUAGUUGUUAGGGUAAAAGCCUACCAAGGCGACGAUCCAUAGCUGGUCUGAGAGGAUGAUCAGCCACACUGGGACUGAGACACGGCCCAGACUCAUACGGGAGGCAGCAGUAGGGAAUAAUGGACAAAGGGCGAAAGCCGGAUCAGCAAGGCGGCGUGGGUGAUGAAGGCGUUAGGGUUGUAAAGCGCUUUUAACCGGGAUGAUAAUGACAGUACCGGGAGAAUAAGCUCCGGCUAACUACGUG